This 467-nucleotide ribosomal RNA is filed under the name uncultured bacterium. RNAcentral's name for it is "partial 16S ribosomal RNA". It matches the Rfam family "Bacterial small subunit ribosomal RNA", at positions 28 to 507 of the family's 1533-position model. The record is from RNAcentral.
GACGAACGCUGGCGGCGUGCUUAACACAUGCAAGUCGAACGGAAAGGCCCUGCUUUUGUGGGGUGCUCGAGUGGCGAACGGGUGAGUAACACGUGAGUAACCUGCCCUUGACUUUGGGAUAACUUCAGGAAACUGGGGCUAAUACCGGAUAGGAGCUCCUGCUGCAUGGUGGGGGUUGGAAAGUUUCGGCGGUUGGGGAUGGACUCGCGGCUUAUCAGCUUGUUGGUGGGGUAGUGGCUUACCAAGGCUUUGACGGGUAGCCGGCCUGGGAGGGUGACCGGCACAUUGGGACUGAGAUACGGCCCAGACUCCUACGGGAGGCAGCAGUGGGGAAUAUUGCACAAUGGGCGGAAGCCUGAUGCAGCAACGCCGCGUGCGGGAUGACGGCCUUCGGGUUGUAAACCGCUUUCGCCUGUGACGAAGCGUGAGUGACGGUAAUGGGUAAAGAAGCACCGGCUAACUACGUG